RNAcentral lists this long non-coding RNA (377 nucleotides) under Ornithorhynchus anatinus (platypus). Its description in RNAcentral is "lncRNA (ENSOANG00000036790.1)". The record is from RNAcentral. Lineage: Eukaryota; Metazoa; Chordata; Mammalia; Monotremata; Ornithorhynchidae.
UUCCCCACUUUCUUCUAACAGACAUGCACACACACACACACACACUAAAACACAUUCACCCUGAACAUUGUUGAAAGUAGCAGGAACUGUAGUAUCAUCUUAAAACUCCUUUUUCAGAACCCAGAUUCCAGGCCAGGUUCUGUGGUCAGGCAGGUCACAGAAUCCACUGUAUCUCAGUCUACCUGAAGUGGCAAUUCUAAUCUCUGUCUUUCCUACCUCACAGGGAUGUCAUGGGUACAACGGAGUGAGUUCUCUGGAAGAAAAUUACUGUAGGCGAUCAAGAGCAGGGCUGGUUGCCGGUGACACCGAUCAGGACCGGCCUCGAUACUGCCCCGUGGCAAGGAGGGGGGAGAGCGACGGACUGAAAUGUCAGCUGC